This 1556-nucleotide ribosomal RNA is filed under the name Enterobacter asburiae. Its description in RNAcentral is "bacterial SSU rRNA". It matches the Rfam family "Bacterial small subunit ribosomal RNA". Lineage: Bacteria; Pseudomonadati; Pseudomonadota; Gammaproteobacteria; Enterobacterales; Enterobacteriaceae. The record is from RNAcentral.
ACUUAAAUUGAAGAGUUUGAUCAUGGCUCAGAUUGAACGCUGGCGGCAGGCCUAACACAUGCAAGUCGAGCGGUAGCACAGGAGAGCUUGCUCUCCGGGUGACGAGCGGCGGACGGGUGAGUAAUGUCUGGGAAACUGCCUGAUGGAGGGGGAUAACUACUGGAAACGGUAGCUAAUACCGCAUAACGUCGCAAGACCAAAGAGGGGGACCUUCGGGCCUCUUGCCAUCAGAUGUGCCCAGAUGGGAUUAGCUAGUAGGUGGGGUAACGGCUCACCUAGGCGACGAUCCCUAGCUGGUCUGAGAGGAUGACCAGCCACACUGGAACUGAGACACGGUCCAGACUCCUACGGGAGGCAGCAGUGGGGAAUAUUGCACAAUGGGCGCAAGCCUGAUGCAGCCAUGCCGCGUGUAUGAAGAAGGCCUUCGGGUUGUAAAGUACUUUCAGCGGGGAGGAAGGUGUUGUGGUUAAUAACCACAGCAAUUGACGUUACCCGCAGAAGAAGCACCGGCUAACUCCGUGCCAGCAGCCGCGGUAAUACGGAGGGUGCAAGCGUUAAUCGGAAUUACUGGGCGUAAAGCGCACGCAGGCGGUCUGUCAAGUCGGAUGUGAAAUCCCCGGGCUCAACCUGGGAACUGCAUUCGAAACUGGCAGGCUAGAGUCUUGUAGAGGGGGGUAGAAUUCCAGGUGUAGCGGUGAAAUGCGUAGAGAUCUGGAGGAAUACCGGUGGCGAAGGCGGCCCCCUGGACAAAGACUGACGCUCAGGUGCGAAAGCGUGGGGAGCAAACAGGAUUAGAUACCCUGGUAGUCCACGCCGUAAACGAUGUCGACUUGGAGGUUGUGCCCUUGAGGCGUGGCUUCCGGAGCUAACGCGUUAAGUCGACCGCCUGGGGAGUACGGCCGCAAGGUUAAAACUCAAAUGAAUUGACGGGGGCCCGCACAAGCGGUGGAGCAUGUGGUUUAAUUCGAUGCAACGCGAAGAACCUUACCUACUCUUGACAUCCAGAGAACUUUCCAGAGAUGGAUUGGUGCCUUCGGGAACUCUGAGACAGGUGCUGCAUGGCUGUCGUCAGCUCGUGUUGUGAAAUGUUGGGUUAAGUCCCGCAACGAGCGCAACCCUUAUCCUUUGUUGCCAGCGGUUAGGCCGGGAACUCAAAGGAGACUGCCAGUGAUAAACUGGAGGAAGGUGGGGAUGACGUCAAGUCAUCAUGGCCCUUACGAGUAGGGCUACACACGUGCUACAAUGGCGCAUACAAAGAGAAGCGACCUCGCGAGAGCAAGCGGACCUCAUAAAGUGCGUCGUAGUCCGGAUUGGAGUCUGCAACUCGACUCCAUGAAGUCGGAAUCGCUAGUAAUCGUAGAUCAGAAUGCUACGGUGAAUACGUUCCCGGGCCUUGUACACACCGCCCGUCACACCAUGGGAGUGGGUUGCAAAAGAAGUAGGUAGCUUAACCUUCGGGAGGGCGCUUACCACUUUGUGAUUCAUGACUGGGGUGAAGUCGUAACAAGGUAACCGUAGGGGAACCUGCGGUUGGAUCACCUCCUUACCUUAAAGAA